GGGGAUGUGACUCAGUGGUAGAGCUCUUGCCUUGCAUGUACAAGGCCUUAGGUUCAAUCCCCAGCACCCCCU
RNAcentral lists this transfer RNA (72 nucleotides) under Cavia porcellus (domestic guinea pig). It matches the Rfam family "tRNA". Rfam says of the family: Transfer RNA (tRNA) molecules are approximately 80 nucleotides in length. Their secondary structure includes four short double-helical elements and three loops (D, anti-codon, and T loops). Further hydrogen bonds mediate the characteristic L-shaped molecular structure. tRNAs have two regions of fundamental functional importance: the anti-codon, which is responsible for specific mRNA codon recognition, and the 3' end, to which the tRNAs corresponding amino acid is attached (by aminoacyl-tRNA synthetases). tRNAs cope with the degeneracy of the genetic code in two manners: having more than one tRNA (with a specific anti-codon) for a particular amino acid; and 'wobble' base-pairing, i.e. permitting non-standard base-pairing at the 3rd anti-codon position. Lineage: Eukaryota; Metazoa; Chordata; Mammalia; Rodentia; Caviidae. The record is from Rfam by way of RNAcentral.